AGGCGGCCGCCAUGUUGGAUGUGGCUCCACCUGGGGAGCAGCUGGAGCGCAAGGGAGGCAGGAAGGGCUCAAGCGGCCUCUGCCUCUUUUCUGAGCUCGUUCCUAGACCCCCUCUGCCGUCUGCACGCUCUUUUCCAGCCACCCGGCCUCCCGAUGCCGGCCUAGCACGUUCCCCCCGGCAGACUUUUGCAUUUGCCCUUCCCACUGUCUUUCCUGUGCAAAAGGGGUCCUGAGUACCCCUCAUGGAAUAGCGUCGCCUCCUCUCUACCUUCACAUACACCCCGAAACUUGCCUCUCAUCCUGUGUGUUUCUCCAUAGAUUUUUGCACCAUCUGACCGACUAAGCCCUACCCUUCCCUAGACCAUGUCACCACUCCAUUGCAUCCUCUGCCAUUGUCCCUCAGAAUAUUCCUAGAUGGCGUUUAUCACUGUGGAUAGUUAUCACCAUUCAGGGUUUUGGCUAAGAUCAAGUGUACCAUCACCGUGAGUGGCUUAUACCUGUAAUCCCAGUACUUUGGAAGGUGGAGGCAGGAGGAUUGCUUGAGGCCAGGAGUUUCAGACCAGUCCAGGCAAUAUAGCGAGACCCCCAUCUCUAUAAAAAAUUUUUAAAAAUUAGCCAGGGGGUGGCAGCAGAGGCUUGUGCAGCCAUGCCCAAGAUUAAGGCUGGGACUUCCUUGGCAAGGAGCAGGAGCUGCUGAAGUCGCUGGUCAACCUAUGGGUGAAGCUGUCCCAGCUGUGCGUCACCAAUGUCAGCAGUCCCCAGUCUUUUGGCACCAGGGACCAGUUUUGUGGAAGAUAAUUUUUCCAUGAAUGGGGGCGGGGGGAUGGUUUUUGAAUGAUUCAAGCACAUUAUGCUUAUCGCAUACUCUAUCUACUAUUAUUACGUUGUAAUAUGUGAUCAACUAAUUCUACAACUCAAGAUGAUAUUGAAUCAAUGAGAGCCCUGAGCUUCUUUCCCUGCAACUAGACAGUCCCAUCUGGGGGUGAUGGGAGAUAGUGACAGGUCAUCAGGCAUUAGAUGCUCAUAAGGAGUGCACAGCCACCGGGCGUGGUGGCUCAUGCCUGUAAUCCCAGCAUUUUGGGAGGCCAAGGUGGUGGAUCACCUGAGGUCAGGAGUUUAAGACCAGCAUGGCCAACAUGGCGAAACCCUGUCUCUGCGAAAAAAACAAAAACUAACCAGGGGUGGUGGCACAUGCCUGUAAUCCCAGCUACUCAGGAGACUGAGGCAGAAGAAUUGCUUGAACCGAGGAGGCAAAGGUUGCAAUGAGCCAAGAUCACGCCACUGCACUCCAGCCUGGGUGACAGAACGAGACUUCAUCACAAAAAAAAAAACAAGACAGAAAAAAAUUGAGACAGGAUCUCACUAUGAUGCCUAGCCUGCAUUUGGACUAAAAUGACCCACCUGCCUCAGUCUCCCAAAGUGCUGCGAUUACAGGUGCGAGCCACCAUGCCUGCCUGGUCUAUUUUAGUUUUUAGAGUCAGGGUCUUGUUCUGUCACCCAGGCUGCAGUGCAGUGGUGCAAUCAUAGCUCACUGCAGCCUUGAGCUGCUGGGCUCAAGCGAUCCUCCCACCUCAGCUUCCCAAAGUGCUGGGAUUACAGGCAUGCGUCAUCACGGCAGGCCCAAUUAGGUAAGUUUUGAAGUAUGUCUACACCCGCCAGACCACCACCAGAAUGACAUAAUGAGUAUCACCUGAUGCUCGUGUUCAUCAAAGCCUCUGCUUUCUUCCCAUGAUCACAGCAUGUCAUUGUACACUCAUUUGCCUUCAUGCUUGUGAUGUCUUCCCCAUUAAACUGGGUGCCUGGUGAGGACAGGGAACACA
Molecule: long non-coding RNA, 1820 nt
Organism: Piliocolobus tephrosceles (Ugandan red Colobus)
Lineage: Eukaryota; Metazoa; Chordata; Mammalia; Primates; Cercopithecidae
Exons: 4
Source: RefSeq, a predicted model, not a curated record